This is a non-coding RNA of Schizosaccharomyces pombe (fission yeast), 1471 nucleotides long. NCBI's taxonomy places the organism in Eukaryota, Fungi, Ascomycota, Schizosaccharomycetes, Schizosaccharomycetales, Schizosaccharomycetaceae. The record is from the annotation of a GenBank genome assembly.
UAACAGGUCUUAUGGGGGCUUGAGCAAUAAUAUGAUCCAAAGCGUUGUCGUUAAAUCCUUUACAACUAUAAACAACUGUGAGUAAAUGAGCAUACCGUAGGAUACUCUCGGAAAAACAGAGGCCGGGGACAGCAUCAUUAGGUUGAAGAGUGGAUUUUUGAUAUAAUUGAUCAACUACGUUGCGCAUUUCUGUGAUAAAGUUUAAUAGUGCAUCAAAUUUGAGUGGUCCAAAGGCAUUCAAUCUAUCAUUAUAAGAAGGGAACAUGGAUAAUAUAUUAGGAGGAAUCUGGACGUCCACAUGCAAAUGAGCCAUUAUAACCAGACAAACAGUAAAUAACUCCAACGAAAGUCCUUGCCAAAGAAAGUCUCCAGUUGCUUUAGAAAGCGCUAUGGCUGUUGAGAAAUGCUUCAACGCAUUGGGAACUCUGCCGGCCAGCAAGUAUAGCUGGCCAAAUUGGUUCUCAAUACGCCCCUUUGAGAGACUUUUGGAUCGUUCCGUUACACUAUUCACAGAUCUUGAUGUGAUCGAGGGAGUUCUCGUCAAAGUAGGACGAGAAGAUGAGCCUAAGGAGUGAAUCGACGCAUUAGAAUUUUUCCUUUGCAAGGGAGCCAAAUGUGGCAUGUCAGUAAUUGGAGAAAGGAUCACGGAACGCGCGUGUAUAGAAAACUCGAGCGAACUAAAUCCUUCUAACAACUCAGCAGUGAUAUCGCAUAAAAUAGACCGCAUUACGGAGUUUAUUGAAAAAUCAGACCUUGGUCCUAUUAUGAUAUUGGGAGCAUUAAAUAUAUUCUCUUUGUCUUCUGGACAAUUAAAUACGAUGCAUUUUGCAACUAACGCAUGAGGUAUCCUUCUCCGCCAAACAUCCAAGGUAGAACAUAAUUGCUCAACUUCUUGUUCCUCUGACCCAUCUACAAUACCAAUAAGAACGAAAACGCGCCGAAAAUAUUCAAAUUCUUCUAGUAGAGCUUGUUGAUCAUCAAGGCUGGUUAGGAAAUUGUACACCAAUCUGCCCAACGGAAAAGCCAAAGGAUUGAAAGAACUCGCUAUUAAGAUUAGUCAAUAAUCAUAAAAAUAAGAAACAUACAUUUUCUAGUAGCAGUAGCUACAGGGACAUCACUCAACUGAAUAUGACUUACUCUGCGGAGUAAUUGUAGGUAGGACGAGAAACUUUUUCUUCUAACACGACCAAAAGGAAGGACUAAUGAUUGAACUCUGGAAGGAGCAACAAACGAAAAAAAAUCAAAUUCCAUAGCAUCUCCAGCAAUGUAAUGUUUUGGAGCACGUACUGAGAACAAAGUGCUUGAAUACCAUUUAACGGAUUACAUCCAUACCAUCACUAAUUUAUUUUGCAUAUUUCUGUUGAUUGUCGAUCAUAAGUCGGUAAAAUAAACUUUUCAAGAUGAUAUCGCUUAACAAUUAUCAUUGUUGUGAAAUGUCUAAUAUUUGUUAUGCUUUGGAAAUACCAUUCUG